UACGGAGGGUGCAAACGUUGCUCGGAAUUAUUGGGCGUAAAGCGCACGUAGGCGGACCAUCAAGUCGGAUGUGAAAUCCCUCGGCUUAACCGAGGACGUGCAUUCGAUACUGAUGGCCUUGAGUACGAAAGAGGAUCGCGGAAUUCCCGGUGUAGAGGUGAAAUUCGUAGAUAUUCGGAAGAACACCAGUGGCGAAGGCGACACACUGGCCCGUUACUGACGCUGAGGCUCGAAAGCGUGGGGAGCAAACAGG
This 253-nucleotide ribosomal RNA is filed under the name uncultured bacterium. RNAcentral's name for it is "partial 16S ribosomal RNA". It matches the Rfam family "Bacterial small subunit ribosomal RNA", at positions 524 to 776 of the family's 1533-position model. The record is from RNAcentral.